UAGUGCCUGCUGUAUUCGAUAGGAUGGACUUUGUAUGAGCCAACACUAAUACAAAGGGAGCCCGGUCUCCUGAUGUGGAAUGUAGGCCUUAAUUUAAGGUAACAAGAAGCAUCAGGGAGGACACCCACCUGCUGGGAGCAGGUUCAUUCAAUCCAUCUAACGAUACGGCGGGUAUUUU
This 178-nucleotide non-coding RNA is filed under the name Caloramator sp. E03. RNAcentral describes it as "6S / SsrS RNA". It matches the Rfam family "6S / SsrS RNA". Rfam says of the family: E. coli 6S RNA was the first non coding RNA to be sequenced, but its function was unknown until recently. It consists of 184 nucleotides that fold into an extended hairpin structure with a large single-stranded internal bulge. The record is from Rfam by way of RNAcentral. Lineage: Bacteria; Bacillati; Bacillota; Clostridia; Eubacteriales; Clostridiaceae.